CAGAGGGUCACCAGGAGCCAGGCAGGGUACAGCUGCUUGGGACAUGUGGAUGCUCCGAGGAGGCACGUGCCAGCUGAGCAGGAAAGCCCUCCAUCAGGCAGAGCCGUCUCCCCGUGUCUGCCCUGGGUCGAGUGAACACUCAUCUCUUGUGGUAUACGAGCUGCCGCCGAGGCCCACCUGAAGAGGAGGCUCUGGACGGGUCUGGCCACCAACAAGGGCCUCUUUCCUGGUGGCAUCACAGAUGGACAGAGAGAUCCUGGAACCUCCGCCCACCCCUGUUCCCAUUGCUGGGGCUGGCAGGCUCCCUGAGCUAUUACUAGACUCUAGACAUCAUGAGGGCAUGAUCCCGGUCCCUCUUUUCAGAGGUGUCCCCCUCAGAACCUAGGACAGCACCUGGCACUCAGAAGGCGUUCAGGAAAUGUUUGUUGACUGACAGUUUGAGUGGCCCAAGUCCUGUCCCCUCCUGGCCACUCCACCAUACAAAUCUUCUGGUGGUCUGCAUGCCUCCCAGACAGAGGGGAGCCUGGAUCUGAGCUCGAGAGGAGGAGAGUGGGUCUGUCCCCUCCCUGCUCCAUGCAUCAUGCCUCUAUUAAUGCAGCCUGAGGUACUGCUGGAUUUUCAGGCUACACAUCAUGCUGAGGACUGACAGUCACUGAGGCUGGUUGUUGUUGCCUCUUGCUCUGGGACUGGUGCUGGGGGUGCAGAGGCUGAGAGUAACAAGGAGCGGGCAGGAGAGACAGAGAUGAGGAUGGCUCACAGGCUGAUGGAGAGACAAGGGAGAUGGGCAGUUUCCUGAGAGCCAACCUGUGGAUGGGGCAGGGAGUUCUGGGCCCUUGAGUGGUCAUUGGGGUUCACAGAGCCAGCUCCCUUCGGGAUGGCAGAGGUCAGCUCCCUCUUCCACCUCUGCUCUGCCUCCACGAGGACAGCCUCUGUCUUCCCUCAAGGGCCCCUUUAGGGCUGAGCUUGGCACCCCUUUGACCUUCCCCAAAGAAUCCCGUGCCCAAGGGUAUCAGUGAGCAUCCAGGACUUCCCUGGAGAUGCUAAGGGAGAUGAGAGCAGUCGCUCCUUAGACCCACCCGCACGGCAACAACGGAAGAGACAGGCAAGGCAGUGUGGGUUGGAAUGGGGAGCAGCCGGGUCUCUCCCUUGCAGCUGGGGGAGUGUGAACUUGCACAGCUCCGGGAGAAAGCUGUUUUGCAGUGUCUGCUAAAGCUAACCCUAGGCACGCUCGGGUCCAAGAAUCCCACUCCUGGGUACAGACCCAAUGGAAAUGUGUUGAACAUAUGUUCAACAGAAGAAAGUUCAGAGCAGAACCAUACAUGAUAGCCAAAAAUGGAAACUACUCGGAGGCCCUCCCAGGUGGACUAGGCAAGGAACUCGUGGACCAGCCAUGCAGUGGAAUCCUCUACAGCAGAGAACCAAGAGGCUACAGCUACGUGCCACAUGCACGGCCGAGUCUGGUGGACAAACUGCUGGGUGAAAGAAGCCAGACACAAGAGCGCAUCUGCGUGACUCCCAU
This 1519-nucleotide long non-coding RNA is filed under the name Equus asinus (donkey). RNAcentral's name for it is "lncRNA (ENSEASG00005026629.1)". The record is from RNAcentral. Lineage: Eukaryota; Metazoa; Chordata; Mammalia; Perissodactyla; Equidae.